RNAcentral lists this ribosomal RNA (253 nucleotides) under uncultured bacterium. Its description in RNAcentral is "partial 16S ribosomal RNA". It matches the Rfam family "Bacterial small subunit ribosomal RNA", at positions 524 to 776 of the family's 1533-position model. The record is from RNAcentral.
UACGGAAGGGGCUAGCGUUUUUCGGAAUUACUGGGCGUAAAGAGCGCGUAGGCGGCUUACCAAGUUGGGGGUGAAAUCCCGGAGCUCAACUCCGGAACUGCCUUCAAAACUGGAAGGCUCGAGUCCGGAAGAGGGGCGUGGAAUUCCCAGUGUAGAGGUGAAAGUCGUAGAUAUUGGGAAGAACACCGGUGGCGAAGGCGGCGCCCUGGUCCGGUACUGCCGCUGAGGCGCGAAAGCGUGGGGAGCAAGCAGG